AGUGCACGUAACUGGCCAGAGAGUGUCUGGAGUCUGUCUGAAACUGAUAAAAAUUGGUGAUGGAGUUUUAAGACUCUCGCUCCAUAUCCAUUCGAAAAACGGAGAAAACGGAAUGGGACUACGUGUUUUUUCUAUCAGCAAGCAAUGUUAGACCAAUCGUUGUCAAAAAACAACAUAGUCUUGUAACGCAUCCAAAGUUUUAUUCAGUGUUUAUCACCAGACAGUUCAUUAUUUCACAGCCCUCGUCCAGUGAAGGCGUGAUGAAGAGGAUGUCCUUCCCUGGUUCCCUGCCCUUCCCGCUCUGUCCCAGCCCUCGUCCAGUGAAGGCGUGAUGAAGAGGAUGUCCUUCCCUGGUUCCCUGCCCUUCCCGCUCUGUCCCAUCCCUCGUCCAGUGAAGGCGUGAUGUAGAGGAUGUCCGUCCAUGAAAUAUGUCUACAGCAGUAGAGCAGGUACUGAGCUGACACAGAUGUAUCACCCCGCCUGUCUGUCCAUCCCUCGCUCUGCGCUGUCCUCUACACUCCAGUCUUUUCUCGCAUCUGGCCGCCACUCAGCCACACUCUUGUCCCUCUUUGCUUCGCCUGUCCAGUUACAGUGUCCACACACACUGCCCUAUACAUUUGAGAUGCACACAUACUUGCAGCAGAGGUACAAUAAGUUGGUGAGCCUUCCCAUUCUUUCCACAUGCCCUCUAGUUCUGACCCUCUUCAGUUCUUGCUCUUGUGUUGCAGUAAUGACUCCUGUGUUUAUCCCACAGUAAUGAAUAAAGACAUGAUAAUCACUGACUGA
Molecule: long non-coding RNA, 786 nt
Organism: Alosa alosa (allis shad)
Lineage: Eukaryota; Metazoa; Chordata; Actinopteri; Clupeiformes; Clupeidae
Exons: 2
Source: RefSeq, a predicted model, not a curated record